AUGCAACGCGAAGGAACCUUCCAUCCCUUGACAUCCAGAGAAGAGCCUAGAGAUAGACUUGUGCCUUCGGGAACUCUGUGACAGGUGCUGCAUGGCUGUCGUCAGCUCGUGUUGUGAAAUGUUGGGUUAAGUCCCGCAACGAGCGCAACCCCUAUCCUUAUUUGCCAGCGAGUUAUGUCGGGAACUCUAAGGAGACUGCCGGUGAUAACCCGGAGGAAGGUGGGGACGACGUCAAGUCAUCAUGGCCCUUACGGGUUGGGCUACACACGUGCUACAAUGCAGUGACAAUGGGUUAAUCCCAAAAAACUGUCUCAGUUCGGAUUGGGGUCUGCAACUCGACCCCAUGAAGUCGGAAUCGCUAGUAAUCGCGUAACAGCAUGCCGCGGUGAAUACGUUCCCGGGCCUUGUACACACCGCCCGUCACA
This 425-nucleotide ribosomal RNA is filed under the name uncultured Alphaproteobacteria bacterium. RNAcentral describes it as "bacterial SSU rRNA". It matches the Rfam family "Bacterial small subunit ribosomal RNA", at positions 954 to 1401 of the family's 1533-position model. Lineage: Bacteria; Pseudomonadati; Pseudomonadota; Alphaproteobacteria. The record is from RNAcentral.